AUUGAACGCUGGCGGCAUGCUUUACACAUGCAAGUCGAACGGUAACAGGGUGCUUGCACCGCUGACGAGUGGCGAACGGGUGAGUAAUGCGUCGGAACGUGCCGAGUAGUGGGGGAUAACGCAGCGAAAGUUGUGCUAAUACCGCAUACGUACUGAGGGAGAAAGUGGGGGACCUUGGGGCCUCACGCUAUUCGAGCCGCCGACGUCUGAUUAGCUAGUAGGUGAGGUAAAGGCUCACCUAGGCGACGAUCAGUAGCGGGUCUGAGAGGAUGAUCCGCCACACUGGGACUGAGACACGGCCCAGACUCCUACGGGAGGCAGCAGUGGGGAAUUUUGGACAAUGGGCGAAAGCCUGAUCCAGCCAUGCCGCGUGUCUGAAGAAGGCCUUCGGGUUGUAAAGGACUUUUGUCGGGGAGGAAAUCCCCAGCGUUAAUACCGCUGGGGGAUGACAGUACCUGAAGAAUAAGCACCGGCUAACUUCGUGCCAGCAGCCGCCGUAA
RNAcentral lists this ribosomal RNA (500 nucleotides) under uncultured bacterium. Its description in RNAcentral is "partial 16S ribosomal RNA". It matches the Rfam family "Bacterial small subunit ribosomal RNA", at positions 30 to 523 of the family's 1533-position model. The record is from RNAcentral.